GGGCCUAGGGUGGUUUGGGAUGAGGAGGGCCGGGAAGUUCACCAUCCUCGAGAUAAAAUCGGCAAAAUAUAGAGACAUUUAAUGGGAAGGAGAGAAACGAGGUGGAGUGGCAGGCAGGCAGCGGGGAAAAAUUGUGAAACACAUUGAAAUGGAGCAAAUGGUUCCGGGGUGUCUUCAGUGAAAAAGCAACCAUAGUCUGGCACACCUUUCCGGGUAUUCUGCUGCUAUGGGAGCUCCCCACCUUUGUGGUGGUCUAUACAACUCUGUGGUCUGCUGCCCUGGACUUCAUAUUGAACCUUAUCCCUCCUGGGAAAAAGCCAUUUUGCAUCGUUUUGAUGGAGUCCUCGAGGCAACACAAUCCUACAUACAUGGCUGGAUUUCAUAAAUUACAACCAUCUUUACAGAUAUAAUUUAGCUGCUUGCCUAAAGCCUGUGU
Microcebus murinus (gray mouse lemur) is the source of this 436-nucleotide non-coding RNA. Lineage: Eukaryota; Metazoa; Chordata; Mammalia; Primates; Cheirogaleidae. The record is from RefSeq and is a predicted model, not a curated record.